GCCGAAAUAAUAGCUCAGUUGGGGAGAGCUUAGGACUGAAGAUCUUGAAGGUCCCUGGUUCGAUCCCGGGUUUCCGCA
Non-coding RNA from Dallia pectoralis (Alaska blackfish), 78 nucleotides. Lineage: Eukaryota; Metazoa; Chordata; Actinopteri; Esociformes; Umbridae. The record is from the annotation of a GenBank genome assembly.